Oryzias melastigma (Indian medaka) is the source of this 3147-nucleotide long non-coding RNA. RefSeq lists it as uncharacterized. The transcript has 3 exons. The record is from RefSeq and is a predicted model, not a curated record. Lineage: Eukaryota; Metazoa; Chordata; Actinopteri; Beloniformes; Adrianichthyidae.
UGUUGUAGCUACGCGAGCGGUUCAGGCCCACACUAAAAAAUGGGGGACUCAAACCAAGUGGAGGCGUGGUUCCACAUUUUAAAAAAUGAUUAUAAAUAAUUUAAAAAUGUCCAAUUAGUAAAAGAUCCACAAUAAAACCACAACGGGACUAGAGCUCACCUUCAACAGAGACCUGGUUACUCAAACAAAACAAACACACAGAAAAACCCAAUCACAUUCAAAAAUAAAAUCCAACCCAGGAGAAUACAACACAAAAACACACAACCAAAACAUUCACUUGAGUACCAGUCACUGUUGCAGCAGCUCUAAAAUAAUAAAACUAAUGAAAAAAAUAAAUAAAACAGCAGCGGGUUCCACCUAAAUGACCAUUUAGGAAGAGGGAGGGAGUGAUUCGCUCCAUUCAAAUUCACUUUUACCCAGUCGCACGCUGAUCCGCGGUGCGACUAGUGAUUCUGGACACCACUGCACUGGCAGUGGCACGAGAGAAAGGGAGGGAGUCUCAGCCCAGAAUCAGGAAGAGCCCGCUCAGUCCCAUUUUUAUAGCUGGCCAGGGGCUUGUUAGCAGCACCUGAGUGGGAGUGACUACACCUAUGCAUCCUAAUCAGUGUGUUUUGGAUUGUAGCCCCCUGUACGACUGAGUUUUACCUCCCUGGUGUAAAACAAAGAAUGAUGAGAAAUGAAGGCAAACUUACUCCAUGCUAACUGUCCUGGCCACAACUUAGAGACCAACUUCUGAUGAUCCCCAGCCGCUCUGCAGAAACUAUGUCCUAGAAAAUGACACAGGUUUUUAAUUUUGUCUAAAAAUGCCAUAAUCAUACUUAAAAGACCACUGGGAAUGCUUUUACAAAAAGAUAAAAAAUGAUGGGACUUCAAAGUUUGUUUGAAAAAAAACCCUGAUCAGUGAGUAGAGGAUGGUUGUGUAAAAUAAAAACACAUGGUGAAACCCUGUCAUGCUGCCAUGGUGAUGUAACACUUGAUCUACCUCACAUGCUGUUUUAAUGUUAAAAUUAGUCCAUAUGUUUCUUUUGUAUGACUUUCUGCAAAAUGUGUCUUUUAAAGACCGGCAAGUGGUAGUUGUAGUAGAUUGCUAGUAGAUCCAACAUGUUAUGGAGAAGCAUUCUCUUUCAACUAAAUGAAUCCACUACUUUCAUUUAAACUGAUUUUUCAAUCGACCUCUUUUCUCUCUCUUUUUUUUUUGUUGACAUCAAAACUCCAGUCCAUCUGUGGUUGGCCUCCAUUAUUACUGUGUCAAAUUGAUGAAGGCAUAUUGGUGACAAGAAACCAAAUAUGAUCAGAUGGAGGAUGGGCAUGACUGUUUUAAUUUACAGUUUAUCUACAUAUCCUUUUUGAUUAUCCUUCAUAUUUAAUUUUUAAAAAGUAAUUGAAUCAAUUAUUGAAAAGAGGUGCGGCUGCCUUCUGUCAACAUGUGGGAAAGAAACAACAAAAGUACAAUUUCAAACAUGUCCUGGACUUUGUUGUGUCCAAGUUUAUGUCUGGUCAAGAGCUAAUAGAAAUGGGCUCUUGUGGUAUGUGUACACACUGCAAAUAAACAGAAGAAGUGAUGAUUCUAAAUCUUAAACUUCCGAAAAAUAAAAAUCUAAGUCACUGACAAAAAACAUUACUUCUAAAUUGGGGUAAUGUUGGAAAUGAGGACAAAUUUCUCCGUUCAAAUCAGUUUCUUUUGCUCAUAUGUAACAACUGAAUGAAAAUGUUUAAAACUCCCUUAUGUGUUUUUUAUUUUAUUUAUUUAUUUUGAAGUAGGAAGCAUUAAUUGCAACAUUCUGCAAAACAAUAAAAAUUAAAAAAAAACAUGCAUAACAUUUGCAACAGAAAAGACGUUCAUCAGCACCAGCAUGUGUUUCUCUGGAAAAACACAACUGGAGCUCUUGAUGGGAUGUCCUGAAUCAGUGACUCAAGCUCCACUCAGCAAGGGGGCCAUACUGCUAAUUCCUCGCAUGCCUUCUCCCCAGGACACCUCCUUUUCACAUCAAACAACUCUCUCCCUCUCUCGAACUAAUUUAAUGUUGUGUUGUGUUUUUCCCUGCUCUCUAAGAGCUGGUCUGAAUGGCUGACGUUGAUGAAUGAUACGUAAAGGAUACGCUGCAGCCGCUCCAGAUCAUUUGGAUUUACUGAGCAAGCAGCACACAUGCAAUGUCCCCAGAUGGACACUCCCACCCUGGUCUUUAGCAAGAAUGAGCUUUGGUUUUGAUAAUAAAAAACACCAACCCUUGCAUCCAGCUGUUUUUAUGGGUCCUGUGUAUUUUUAUUUGACUGUUUUUCAAACAAGAAAUGAAUUGCUUGUAUGCACACAAUCAAUAGUUGUUAAUUUUUUAGGGCUUCUGGCUUUUAGCAAGAGGAAUUAUCUUUGCUUUGUUGGAAAUGAUAAGUCUUGACCAAGUUUGACAAAAACUAUCUUCUAAAAACUAUUAGUAAAAAAACUGUUUUAUACUUAUUAAAAUUAUGCCUUUUUGGAAAGCAAUGCCUGCUAAUACUGAGUGAAAUAUCCGCUACCACUGAAACUUGCCUGCUUAUGAUAAUAUCUAAAAAGAUUUGUGAUGGCUUUUUGUGUAACUUAUAAGUUUGGACUAAGAAAUGCAGAACUGGCUUCUGCACAAAUACAUGAGGGACACUGGAGCCCAUUACAAUGGAUCCACAAAGUUUCCACAGUAAGAAUAAAUAAAGCAAAAUUACCAAAUUGUGAUCUAAAUUAACAAAUUGAGAAACAAAAAAAGAAAAAAGAAGAAUUGUCCAUCAUUACACGGAAACACAAGACACAGCUUCUGGGAUACUUCAGAAAUGUGGUGAGUCUCCCCUGGGGGGCCCUGGCUCGUACCUGGGAUGGGGCAGGGGGGAUGCUCUGUACUGCUGGGUGGUGGUGUGCUGCUCGUUUGGGGCUGGGGUGCUCUCCGGGGAUGGGGUCUCACGCUGGCCAUCCUGGGUCCUGCACUUUCUGUGUUCCUGUGCCUUCUUGGGGGCCUCUGCGGCGGUCCCACGCGCCCUGGUCUGGGUACUUGGCGGGAUUACCCGGCGGGCGGGUUUCCCUCUGUGGCCCCAUGGCGGGUGUAGGGGGGUCCUGGGUCGUAUCUGAUUGCUCAGCUGUUGGACAGGACAUGUUAAAAAAGAAGAAUUAUAGAUAAAUUAAAAAAA